GUCCAUGCCGUAAACGUUGGGCGCUAGGUGUGGGGCUCUUUCCACGAGUUCUGUGCCGCAGCAAACGCAUUAAGCGCCCCGCCUGGGGAGUACGGCCGCAAGGCUAAAACUCAAAGGAAUUGACGGGGGGCCCGCACAAGCGGCGGAGCAUGCGGAUUAAUUCGAUGUAACGCGAAGAACCUUACCAAGGCUUGACAUGGGGUGAAAACUGGCAGAAAUGUCAGGUCCGCAAGGGCGCCUCACAGGUGGUGCAUGGUUGUCGU
This 263-nucleotide ribosomal RNA is filed under the name uncultured bacterium. RNAcentral describes it as "partial 16S ribosomal RNA". It matches the Rfam family "Bacterial small subunit ribosomal RNA", at positions 793 to 1055 of the family's 1533-position model. The record is from RNAcentral.